Molecule: ribosomal RNA, 454 nt
Filed under: uncultured bacterium
Lineage: Bacteria
Description: bacterial SSU rRNA
Rfam family: Bacterial small subunit ribosomal RNA
Source: RNAcentral
AGAGUUUGAUCCUGGCUCAGAACGAACGCUGGCGGCAUGCCUAACACAUGCAAGUCGAACGAAGCCUUCGGGCUUAGUGGCGCACGGGUGCGUAACGCGUGGGAAUCUGCCCUUGGGUUCGGAAUAACAGUUAGAAAUGACUGCUAAUACCGAAUGAUGUCUUCGGACCAAAGAUUUAUCGCCCAAGGAUGAGCCCGCGUCGGAUUAGCUAGUUGGUGAGGUAAAAGGCUCACCAAGGCGACGAUCCGUAGCUGGUCUGAGAGGAUGAUCAGCCACACUGGGACUGAGACACGGCCCAGACUCCUACGGGAGGCAGCAGUGGGGAAUAUUGGACAAUGGGCGAAAGCCUGAUCCAGCAAUGCCGCGUGAGUGAUGAAGGCCUUAGGGUUGUAAAGCUCUUUUACCCGGGAUGAUAAUGACAGUACCGGGUGAAUAAGCCCCGGCUAACUCCGUG